AGAGUUUGAUCCUGGCUCAGGAUGAACGCUAGCGGCAGGCCUAACACAUGCAAGUCGAGGGGCAGCGGGAGUGCUUGCACUCGCCGGCGACCGGCGCACGGGUGCGGAACGCGUAUGGAAUCUACCUCUUUCUGGGGAAUAGCCCAUGGAAACGUGGAUUAAUACCCCAUAGUAUUCAGAGAUCGCAUGAUCUCUGUCUUAAAGCUUUGGCGGAAAGAGAUGACCAUGCGUAUCAUUAGCUAGUAGGCGAGGUAACGGCUCACCUAGGCAACGAUGAUUAGGGGUCCUGAGAGGGAGAUCCCCCACACUGGUACUGAGACACGGACCAGACUCCUACGGGAGGCAGCAGUGAGGAAUAUUGGACAAUGGUCGAAAGACUGAUCCAGCCAUGCCGCGUGCAGGAUGAAUGCCCUAUGGGUUGUAAACUGCUUUUAUACGGGAAGAACACCACCCACGUGUGGGUGACUGACGGUACCGUAAGAAUAAGGACCGGCUAACUCCGUGCCAGCAGCCGCGGUAAUACGGAGGGUCCAAGCGUUAUCCGGAAUCAUUGGGUUUAAAGGGUCCGUAGGCGGGCUAUUAAGUCAGAGGUGAAAGUUUGCAGCUCAACUGUAAAAUUGCCUUUGAUACUGGUAGUCUUGAGUUAUAGUGAAGUGGUUAGAAUAUGUGGUGUAGCGGUGAAAUGCAUAGAUAUCACAUAGAAUACCAAUUGCGAAGGCAGAUCACUAACUAUAUACUGACGCUGAUGGACGAAAGCGUGGGGAGCGAACGGGAUUAGAUACCCCGGUAGUCCACGCCGUAAACGAUGGAUACUAGCUGUUGGAAUUUUUCAGUGGCUAAGCGAAAGUGAUAAGUAUCCCACCUGGGGAGUACGUUCGCAAGAAUGAAACUCAAAGGAAUUGACGG
Molecule: ribosomal RNA, 906 nt
Filed under: uncultured marine bacterium
Lineage: Bacteria
Description: bacterial SSU rRNA
Rfam family: Bacterial small subunit ribosomal RNA
Source: RNAcentral